This 484-nucleotide ribosomal RNA is filed under the name uncultured bacterium. RNAcentral's name for it is "partial 16S ribosomal RNA". It matches the Rfam family "Bacterial small subunit ribosomal RNA", at positions 28 to 507 of the family's 1533-position model. The record is from RNAcentral.
AUUGAACGCUGGCGGCAUGCUUUACACAUGCAAGUCGAACGGCAGCGCGGGCUUCGGCCUGGCGGCGAGUGGCGAACGGGUGAGUAAUGCAUCGGAACGUGCCCUGUAGUGGGGGAUAGCCCGGCGAAAGCCGGAUUAAUACCGCAUACGACCUGAGGGUGAAAGCGGGGGACCGAAAGGCCUCGCGCUAUUGGAGCGGCCGAUGUCGGAUUAGCUAGUUGGUGGGGUAAAGGCUUACCAAGGCGACGAUCCGUAGCUGGUCUGAGAGGACGACCAGCCACACUGGGACUGAGACACGGCCCAGACUCCUACGGGAGGCAGCAGUGGGGAAUUUUGGACAAUGGGGGCAACCCUGAUCCAGCCAUGCCGCGUGCGGGAAGAAGGCCUUCGGGUUGUAAACCGCUUUUGUUCGGGAAGAAAUCCUCUGGGCUAAUACCCCGGGGGGAUGACGGUACCGGAAGAAUAAGCAUCGGCUAACUACGUG